GGAGAGCCAGUGUGGUAUAAGUGGUUAAGAGCGGUAGACUCGUAAUCUGGUAAUCUGGGUUCAAUUCCCCGCUCUUCCA
Molecule: transfer RNA, 79 nt
Filed under: Podarcis lilfordi (Lilford's wall lizard)
Lineage: Eukaryota; Metazoa; Chordata; Lepidosauria; Squamata; Lacertidae
Description: tRNA.Thr
Source: RNAcentral